CAGUCGCCACGGGAAUACGGAGGGGGCUAGCGUUGUUCGGAAUUACUGGGCGUAAAGCGCACGUAGGCGGCUUGGUAAGUUAGAGGUGAAAGCCCGGAGCUCAACUCCGGAAUUGCCUUUAAGACUGCCGAGCUAGUAGGUGAGAGAGGUAAGUGGAAUUCCGAGUGUAGAGGUGAAAUUCGUAGAUAUUCGGAAGAACACCAGUGGCGAAGGCGGCUUACUGGCUCAUUCUAGACGCUGAGGUGCGAAAGCGUGGGGAGCAAACAGGAUUAGAUACCCGUGUAGUCCCUGUCUCUUAUAC
RNAcentral lists this ribosomal RNA (301 nucleotides) under uncultured bacterium. Its description in RNAcentral is "partial 16S ribosomal RNA". It matches the Rfam family "Bacterial small subunit ribosomal RNA", at positions 509 to 807 of the family's 1533-position model. The record is from RNAcentral.